AGCGUAGACGGCUGUGCAAGUCUGAAGUGAAAGGCAUGGGCUCAACCUGUGGACUGCUUUGGAAACUGUGCAGCUAGAGUGUCGGAGAGGUAAGUGGAAUUCCUAGUGUAGCGGUGAAAUGCGUAGAUAUUAGGAGGAACACCAGUGGCGAAGGCGGCUUACUGGACGAUGACUGACGUUGAGGCUCGAAAGGCUGGGAGCAAACA
This 206-nucleotide ribosomal RNA is filed under the name uncultured bacterium. RNAcentral's name for it is "partial 16S ribosomal RNA". It matches the Rfam family "Bacterial small subunit ribosomal RNA", at positions 568 to 774 of the family's 1533-position model. The record is from RNAcentral.